Salvelinus sp. IW2-2015 is the source of this 110-nucleotide non-coding RNA. The record is from RefSeq and is a predicted model, not a curated record. NCBI's taxonomy places the organism in Eukaryota, Metazoa, Chordata, Actinopteri, Salmoniformes, Salmonidae.
CCCUGGAGGCAGGGAGCAGCUCUCCCUCCACUCUGACUGGUAAAGUCAACCAACUGGAGGUGAUCCUGACUCAACUGCAGCAUGACCUCAGAAACGAGAAGGAGGACAAG